GCAGGGUUAGAAUAUAAAUUCCUAUUUCUGUCUCAAAUAAAAUGUAUCAUGUAUAGAUACACUCUGCU
Molecule: non-coding RNA, 68 nt
Organism: Ciona intestinalis (vase tunicate)
Lineage: Eukaryota; Metazoa; Chordata; Ascidiacea; Phlebobranchia; Cionidae
Source: the annotation of a RefSeq genome assembly